GGAUAUGAGGGCGAUCUGGCUGCGACAUCUGUCACCCCAUUGAUCACCAGGGUUGAUUCAGCUGAUCUGGCUGGCUAGGCAGGUGUCCCCUUCCUCCCUCACAGCUCCAUGUGCGUCCCUUCCGAAGCUGCGUGCUCGGUCGAAGAGGACGACCUUCCCCAGUAGAGGAGAGGACCGUUCUUUGGUCAAGGGUAUACGAGUAGCUGUGCUACCCUGCUAGAACCUCCAGACAAGCUCUAAUAGCAUAAACUUAUUUGUAUAUUUCUCACUUAAAACUUAUAUUUAAAAAACUCAGGUAGAAAUAAGGAGGCAUUU
This 315-nucleotide small nuclear RNA is filed under the name Mustela putorius furo (domestic ferret). RNAcentral describes it as "7SK RNA (ENSMPUG00000021850.1)". It matches the Rfam family "7SK RNA", at positions 1 to 269 of the family's 331-position model. From Rfam's summary of the family: 7SK was discovered as an abundant small nuclear RNA in the mid-70s but a possible function has only recently been suggested. Two independent studies have found that 7SK RNA binds the CDK9/cyclin T complex (known as elongation factor P-TEFb). Lineage: Eukaryota; Metazoa; Chordata; Mammalia; Carnivora; Mustelidae. The record is from RNAcentral.